UCCUUGGAGGACUAGUGGUUAGGCCUCGGUGCUCUCGGCGCCGCGACCGAGGUUCGAUUCCCAGUCAGGGAA
Pangasius djambal is the source of this 72-nucleotide non-coding RNA. The record is from the annotation of a GenBank genome assembly. NCBI's taxonomy places the organism in Eukaryota, Metazoa, Chordata, Actinopteri, Siluriformes, Pangasiidae.